This 331-nucleotide unclassified non-coding RNA is filed under the name soil metagenome. Its description in RNAcentral is "partial contains 5.8S ribosomal RNA, internal transcribed spacer 2, and large subunit ribosomal RNA". The stretch from base 1 to 120 matches the Rfam family "5.8S ribosomal RNA", at positions 35 to 154 of the family's 154-position model. The record is from RNAcentral.
GAUGAAGAACGUAGCGAAAUGCGAUAAGUAAUGUGAAUUGCAGAAUUCAGUGAAUCAUCGAAUCUUUGAACGCACAUUGCGCCUCCUGGUAUUCCGGGGGGCAUGCCUGUUCGAGCGUCAUUUCACCACUCAAGCCUCGCUUGGUAUUGGGCAACGCGGUCCGCCGCGUGCCUCAAAUCGACCGGCUGGGUCUUCUGUCCCCUAAGCGUUGUGGAAACUAUUCGCUAAAGGGUGUUCGGGAGGCUACGCCGUAAAACAACCCCAUUUCUAAGGUUGACCUCGGAUCAGGUAGGGAUACCCGCUGAACUUAAGCAUAUCAAUAAGCGGAGGA